RNAcentral lists this ribosomal RNA (1015 nucleotides) under Nocardiopsis sp. VJRM-8. RNAcentral describes it as "bacterial SSU rRNA". It matches the Rfam family "Bacterial small subunit ribosomal RNA", at positions 524 to 1533 of the family's 1533-position model. Lineage: Bacteria; Bacillati; Actinomycetota; Actinomycetes; Streptosporangiales; Nocardiopsidaceae. The record is from RNAcentral.
CUCCAAGGGUCUAGUUGUCGGCAUAUUGGGCGUAAGAGCUCGUAGGCGGCGUGUCACGUCUGCUGUGAAAGACCGGGGCUUAACUCCGGUUCUGCAGUGGAUACGGGCAUGCUAGAGGUAGGUAGGGGAGACUGGAAUUCCUGGUGUAGCGGUGAAAUGCGCAGAUAUCAGGAGGAACACCGGUGGCGAAGGCGGGUCUCUGGGCCUUACCUGACGCUGAGGAGCGAAAGCAUGGGGAGCGAACAGGAUUAGAUACCCUGGUAGUCCAUGCCGUAAACGUUGGGCGCUAGGUGUGGGGACUUUCCACGGUUUCCGCGCCGUAGCUAACGCAUUAAGCGCCCCGCCUGGGGAGUACGGCCGCAAGGCUAAAACUCAAAGGAAUUGACGGGGGCCCGCACAAGCGGCGGAGCAUGUUGCUUAAUUCGACGCAACGCGAAGAACCUUACCAAGGUUUGACAUCACCCGUGGACUCGCAGAGAUGUGAGGUCAUUUAGUUGGCGGGUGACAGGUGGUGCAUGGCUGUCGUCAGCUCGUGUCGUGAGAUGUUGGGUUAAGUCCCGCAACGAGCGCAACCCUUGUUCCAUGUUGCCAGCACGUAAUGGUGGGGACUCAUGGGAGACUGCCGGGGUCAACUCGGAGGAAGGUGGGGAUGACGUCAAGUCAUCAUGCCCCUUAUGUCUUGGGCUGCAAACAUGCUACAAUGGCCGGUACAAUGGGCGUGCGAUACCGUAAGGUGGAGCGAAUCCCUAAAAGCCGGUCUCAGUUCGGAUUGGGGUCUGCAACUCGACCCCAUGAAGGUGGAGUCGCUAGUAAUCGCGGAUCAGCAACGCCGCGGUGAAUACGUUCCCGGGCCUUGUACACACCGCCCGUCACGUCAUGAAAGUCGGCAACACCCGAAACUUGCGGCCUAACCCCUUGUGGGAGGGAGUGAGUGAAGGUGGGGCUGGCGAUUGGACAUCUACAGGGGGGGGAACCCAAAACACAAUAAAGGGGGUUUUUUGGGGGUGUUUUUUCC